AACAAAAACCCUUCAAAGGAGUAGUAUAAAUACAAAACGUUAACGCCUAAAAAUUGAUAGAGGAAAUAUGGCUUCAGGAAACAAAAUUGGUUUAAUAUAUCUUCUCAUUUUGUGUUGUGCAAUUCUACUGAGCGUCAAUUCAGCAACUGUGAGGGCAAAAAUAGCAUGCCCUAGCUAUGCAUGCAUAGCAAAUGAAGGUGGGUACAUGACCUGCCUGUCUUCGGGCACUCAGAAACUUAAUUCGCCCUGCAAUUGUUGCUAUGCUCCACAGGGCUGUACCAUUUAUUAUGCUUCUGGAGCUUCAAUGUGUACUGCCACUGCCACUGGGGCUUGAAGGGAUGGACAUGCGAUAUCUGUUAAACAUGGUUGCUAGUACUCACAUUUGGUUUGCAACAUAAAGGUGUCUAUGUGUUGUAACAUAGAGACAAUGAAUUGUACUUGUCGUACUAUUGUAUUGUAUUUGUAUUGCUUAUAUUAAUUGCACUUGUAUUUCUACAGUAUCAUGUCGUUUUAGUGAGUUGCCAAAUUGUGCAAUAAAGAUUUAGCCCUUUGUGCUUUAUGAUUGCAAUCACGUAAAUUCAAUGAAUGUUCUUUUGUUUA
Alnus glutinosa is the source of this 600-nucleotide long non-coding RNA. RefSeq lists it as uncharacterized. The record is from RefSeq and is a predicted model, not a curated record. The transcript has 2 exons. NCBI's taxonomy places the organism in Eukaryota, Viridiplantae, Streptophyta, Magnoliopsida, Fagales, Betulaceae.